RNAcentral lists this ribosomal RNA (197 nucleotides) under uncultured bacterium. RNAcentral describes it as "partial 16S ribosomal RNA". It matches the Rfam family "Bacterial small subunit ribosomal RNA", at positions 335 to 524 of the family's 1533-position model. The record is from RNAcentral.
ACUCCUACGGGAGGCAGCAGUGGGGAAUAUUGGACAAUGGGCGCAAGCCUGAUCCAGCAAUGCCGCGUGUGUGAAGAAGGCCUGCGGGUUGUAAAGCACUUUUGUUCGGGAAGAAAACGGAUCGGUUAAUACCCGGUUCGGAUGACGGUACCGAAAGAAUAAGCACCGGCUAACUUCGUGCCAGCAGCCGCGGUAAU